CAGAGUCUCACUCUGUCACGCAGGCUGGAAUGCAGUGGUGGGAUCUUGGCUUACUGCAACCUCCACCUCCCGGUUCAAGAAAUUCUCCUGCCUCAGCCUCUUGAGCAGCAGCUGGGAUUACAGCACAGGACCACCCAGGUGGGACACCUGCUUCAUGCAGAGCCCCAGCACAGACAGCAGUGGGAGGAAGGGCUCUCUGCUUGAAGGGCUCAUAUUUCAGGGAGAAUGAAAGGCGACGGAUGCUCUGAUGAGGCCAAAAAGCAUCCCACAGGCUAUUCUCUGCCCAGCCUAAGCAAAGGACACUGCUGUCAGCACUGAGGAGACCCUUCAACAAAGGUCAUGAUCCUGGCUGCUCCCUGCAGAUUGAAAAGGUUGACUUCUAGAUCUAUACGUGACCAGCUUAAUUCUAGAGAGACUGUCUGAAGUACUUCACUGUGUUUACUUUCCACGUCAUUUAUCACUGACAUCGUCUCAUGCAUGAAAGUGCAAGGAGAUUUAAGGAGCUGGCAUUUUCUCACAAGGUCUCCUUUAGUGGAACGGUGCCUAACAUGCUACUUACCUCACGCUGCCACUGAAACAUAACUCGUCUCUCCCCAGCACUUCCAUCUUCCACGGAACAGCACAGUCUUCAGCAAGUAGAGAGCUCUACUCAGAACUCUUAGUCCUAUUGUGCUAAAAUGUGCAUCACAUGCACAGGGUUAGGUCACAAUCUGUCUUCGCACUUCAAUUCCCAGGUCUCAAAAACAGCUGGACAGAACCUGGUUUUGUAAUAGCAAGUCACCUGAAUGACCAAGAAAUUCUCAAACAGCACAAAGAAGACAAAAAGAAAAUACUACUUCUUUGAGUUUGAAGAAGACCGAGUUUAUGUGCCUCAUUAUGGAUUUUUACUUCUUCGAUUUGUUUUCAUUCUUCCA
This is a long non-coding RNA of Gorilla gorilla gorilla (western lowland gorilla), 914 nucleotides long. RefSeq lists it as uncharacterized. The transcript is spliced from 3 exons. Lineage: Eukaryota; Metazoa; Chordata; Mammalia; Primates; Hominidae. The record is from RefSeq and is a predicted model, not a curated record.